Molecule: ribosomal RNA, 253 nt
Filed under: uncultured bacterium
Lineage: Bacteria
Description: partial 16S ribosomal RNA
Rfam family: Bacterial small subunit ribosomal RNA
Source: RNAcentral
UACGUAGGUGGCAAGCGUUGUCCGGAAUUAUUGGGCGUAAAGCGCGCGCAGGCGGUCCUUUAAGUCUGAUGUGAAAGCCCACGGCUCAACCGUGGAGGGUCAUUGGAAACUGGGGGACUUGAGUGCAGGAGAGAAGAGUGGAAUUCCACGUGUAGCGGUGAAAUGCGCAGAGAUGUGGAGGAACACCAGUGGCGAAGGCGGCGCUCUGGGCCGGAACUGACGCUGAGGAGCGAAAGCGUGGGUAGCAAACAGG